This 274-nucleotide ribosomal RNA is filed under the name uncultured bacterium. Its description in RNAcentral is "partial 16S ribosomal RNA". It matches the Rfam family "Archaeal small subunit ribosomal RNA", at positions 473 to 747 of the family's 1478-position model. The record is from RNAcentral.
AAACCAGCACCUCAAGUGGUCAGGAGGAUUAUUGGGCCUAAAGCAUCCGUAGCCUGUUCUGUAAGUUUUCGGUUAAAUCCACUAGCUCAGCUAGUGGGCUGCCGAAAAUACUGUAGAACUAGGGAGUGGGAGAGGUAGACGGUAUUCGGUAGGAAGGGGUAAAAUCCUUUGAUCUAUUGAGGACCACCUGUGGCGAAGGCGGUCUACCAGAACACGUUCGACGGUGAGGGAUGAAAGCUGGGGGAGCAAACCGGAUUAGAAACCCGUGUAGUCC